Orbicella faveolata is the source of this 1492-nucleotide long non-coding RNA. The record is from RefSeq and is a predicted model, not a curated record. Lineage: Eukaryota; Metazoa; Cnidaria; Anthozoa; Scleractinia; Merulinidae.
UCACGUUCAAUUGUGGUAACACAUACUUAAAGUUUAAUUUAAUUGCAUAUGAAUUUUCAGGUGGACUUCUACUUAAGAGACAUUUAUAUGCCAAACUUUAAUGUAAACUUUGAUGGCGGAUCCUUGUGACUGCGAAUCAAUUUCUCAGAACUAUUAAUAUUGGUCAACAACUACAGGGAGUUGAUACAUCGAGUCAAUGGCACCACUUGGAUUCAACCAAUCAAAUUGCCUUUCAGUAGACCAUUCAAAUUCUAAAUAAAUAAAACCCAUUACGGUUCUAUAAUGAACCAUUCCACGGCUGAUUUAAGGAGGAACAUCUGGUCUUCUGAGCUUGUACAGGUAUGAGUGGCUUAUGCUGACUAGUAGAUGAUGAAUGCAGCCAACGCUUUGUUAAUUGCAGCCAUUCCUCCAUGUCUACUUUUCUUACCAAUCCGCGAUAAAACUGGUCAGUCUGUUUAGCCCAAAAUAUACACUGUACUUGAUAUUUUGUCGCAAAUGACUGAAUGCUCAGAAACGCCCACACAAUCCUGGGUCUCGGAGGAUAUGAUCGGGGGGGGGAGUACUCCCUUGUAUGGCCUAUAUAGGUAUGUGUGACUCGCAAGGGUAUGGUUUUUCAGCGGUUCUGGUCUGAAAAAGGGCAUAGAUUCUGACCAUUUUGGUCUGAAAUAGGCUUAGCAUUGGGUAUUCUCAGUUUCAAGGAACUAUUGUUUCCUCAUUAACGUUGGGAAAUUUGCAGCCCUUCUCAAAUGUUUGCAGCCCUUACUCAAAUGGAAGGCAUUCAUGGCUAGCAGCGGUCAUAUUUUAGAACUGUGUACUAGCGUUAGAUGUCUGAAAUGGGGCAUUGAUUGUUCGCUGAAAAGGUCUGAAAAAGAGUACAGGUUUCAAGGUUUGGGCCGCAAAACCCAACAAAAAAUUUGGGGCUACCCCCCCCCCCGGAAUUUUGAGACAGACGUUCAACAUUAGAUCAAAAUAUGAAACUCCUACUUUGAAAAGAAAUUAACCCUUAGCUUUCGCCACAAGUCACACCACAAUUUCGUAAACGUGUUAACACGAUCGAAUUACAUUUUACAGCCAUCACAGCACAGUUUCCAGGCUGUGUUGAUAUAUUUCAAUGGGGGAAGAUUUGCAUAUGUGUACAAAGUUGCUGAAAUAACUGCAAGCUAAGUUCUUUUACACCGCAAUUAACUUUGCGCCGAAUGAACACAGCCGUAAUAUUGUUAUCAUCGAUGUAUCGGAAGUCGACUGACGUGGCAAAAAAUUCGAACUCGUUUAGCACAAAUUUCUCAGGGUAGAAAAGAGAACAAUAAAGGGUGCGACAUCAAGAAAACACAGUGAAGAUUUAAAUAACUGUUGUUUUUCAGUUGAGUGCAUCUAAUUGGUACGUGAGAAUAUGCGUAUCCAAAAAUAAGCUCUGCAAUGUUGGGUGUCAAACACAAUAAACUGAGGUCAGUCACUGUCAUUUGCGAGCCUGUAAAUAGUUUGGAGCACAAAA